CCAUUCUUGCGGCCUUCCCGGCUCACACACCUCUCCAUCACCCCAAUUUCGUAUACAGGAACCGGCCCGUCACUUUUGCCUUGCCCAGAAAUUGAUCAAGGCCUGUUGCUUUUGAGCCAUUUCAAAGUGAUGAAUGUUAUUAAGGCCCAUCAGUACAUUGACAAAGAUGGACCUGGCCCUGACCCAAAAGACACAUAAGGGGCCUUGCUUCUCUAAUACCAAUCGUUACUAUAUUGCAAA
This 240-nucleotide long non-coding RNA is filed under the name Sorghum bicolor (sorghum). RNAcentral describes it as "long non-coding RNA (SBIC_LNC011679)". Lineage: Eukaryota; Viridiplantae; Streptophyta; Magnoliopsida; Poales; Poaceae. The record is from RNAcentral.